This 565-nucleotide ribosomal RNA is filed under the name uncultured Comamonas sp. RNAcentral describes it as "bacterial SSU rRNA". It matches the Rfam family "Bacterial small subunit ribosomal RNA", at positions 894 to 1463 of the family's 1533-position model. Lineage: Bacteria; Pseudomonadati; Pseudomonadota; Betaproteobacteria; Burkholderiales; Comamonadaceae. The record is from RNAcentral.
CUCAAACUUAAAUGAAUUGACGGGGACCCGCACAAGCGGUGGAUGAUGUGGUUUAAUUCGAUGCAACGCGAAAAACCUUACCCACCUUUGACAUGUAUGGAAUCCCGCAGAGAUGUGGGAGUGCUCGCAAGAGAGCCAUAACACAGGUGCUGCAUGGCUGUCGUCAGCUCGUGUCGUGAGAUGUUGGGUUAAGUCCCGCAACGAGCGCAACCCUUGCCAUCAGUUGCUACGAAAGGGCACUCUGAUGGGACUGCCGGUGACAAACCGGAGGAAGGUGGGGAUGACGUCAAGUCCUCAUGGCCCUUAUAGGUGGGGCUACACACGUCAUACAAUGGCCGGUACAAAGGGCAGCGAAGCCGCGAGGUGAAGCCAAUCCCAUAAAGCCGGUCGUAGUCCGGAUCGCAGUCUGCAACUCGACUGCGUGAAGUCGGAAUCGCUAGUAAUCGUGGAUCAGCAUGUCACGGUGAAUACGUUCCCGGGUCUUGUACACACCGCCCGUCACACCAUGGGAGCGGGUCUCACCAGAAGCAGGUAGCCUAACCGCAAGGAGGGCGCUUGCCACGGU